UCAUAUUUACCCUCCGACUUUGAGCACCCUUCUCACAAACUGACAAACAAAACAACAUACAUGGAAGACUAAGACGGCCGUUAUGUCAUGUUUUCUCUUCAUUCACAGAGAAUGCAAGUGAGGAUCAUCGUGGAAUUAGUGAUUCAGCCUCAAGCCAGGGAUGAUUUGGAGGCUUUUCUUGGCGAAAAGAGUAGUGAAUUUGUGUCCUGAAGAGCAAAGUUCUAGGAGAUAUGUAGCGGAUGAGGUUAAUCGUCAUGAUAUGGAAAUUUAUUUGGUGGUGAGAAGAACGUUGGAUACGGGGCAGAGAAAUUAAGAUUGUCAAGAUACCCGUGAGAUGUUCCCUCGACAUCAGUCUUCAGUGGAGAGAAUAUUAGGUUCUGCGAGUUCACAAUCUGCAAUGGCAGGUACUGUACAUCUUUUUGAUUGUCAUCAGGUUGAGAGUGUCAAAUACUAUCUCUUGUGAUUAAUCUUUCGAUUGUCAUAUAACAAUACUUAACCUCUGGUCAUUAAUAAGGAAAAUGGUGCUCAAGGUACUUGUCUGUCUACCCACGACUCAGUUCAUCAUUAAGUCUAGCAUUAGUGUUUCUCUUAUGUUCUUAUUUAUAGUCUUUAUCUUUAUCAGCUUUAAUUUAAAUGUGUCACUUGUACGAACUUGAUUAUGAUUUUCAACUCCCAGUAUAGUGAAGGGUCUGCUUUAAAAGAAGGCGUACAAAAUACUCCCCGUUAGUCUCGUGGUUGUUAUGGUUUCUGACAAGUUUCAUUCUCCGUAGUCUCAUGUUGUAAAGCUCGAACCUGAUUGAGAUAAAUCAGUACUCAGCAAAAAUGUGUAUUUUCGCAUAUUUUCUGUUCAAUGACAUUAUUUGCCAUUUAUAUAUAAUUUUGGAUUUUGUUUA
Molecule: long non-coding RNA, 893 nt
Organism: Papaver somniferum (opium poppy)
Lineage: Eukaryota; Viridiplantae; Streptophyta; Magnoliopsida; Ranunculales; Papaveraceae
Exons: 4
Source: RefSeq, a predicted model, not a curated record